AGAUACCAAACAUUCCUUUGACGUUGACAUUAUUCGUCUCCAUUAAGCUAACAAAGCUUUCAGUACUACAACGAGAAUUAAUAGGAACUCUUCUAAAUUGGAGGUAAAGAAGAGAAUACCGUUUCCGGGUAAACAUUUUGCAUGUGAAAACGCUAGUCCACUGGUUUAUUGACGAUGUAGAAGAGAUUCACAUGAUGAUUUGACGUACAAAGCAUGAUGACAUAGGUCUGAACAGAUCAUGGUACGGGGGCUGGUAAGGGAGAGAACUGUCAACUUGAUCCACACUGAUUGACGCCAUGAAACACAAUGUUUGCAUGGUGUCUGAUUUUUUCUUCCCAAACAUGGGAGGUGUGGAGAGUCACAUUUACCAGCUGUCACAGUGUCUGUUGGAACGGGGUCACAAGGUCAUUGUCGUCACCCAUUUCUAUGGCAACAGGAAGGGAGUCAGAUAUCUGACCAACGGUCUUAAGGUUUACUACCUACCAUUCCCAGCUUUCUACAACCAGUGUAUCUUGCCGACAAUCUUCACAACCUUUCCGUUGUUGAGGAACAUCUUCAUACGUGAGCACAUCACAAUUGUCCAUGGCCAUUCAGCUUUUUCGACACUAGCUCAUGAGGCUAUGUUCCACGCCAGGACCUUGGGACUGAAGGCUGUCUUCACCGAUCAUUCAUUGUUUGGAUUUGCCGACGCAAGCUCAAUCCUCACCAACAAAAUCUUACAGUUCUCAUUGGCUGAUUGUAAUCAUGUGAUAUGUGUGUCUCAUACAAGUAAGGAGAACACGGUGCUUAGAGCCAGUCUACAACCAGAUGUCGUGUCGGUUAUACCUAACGCAGUGGAUGCCACUACGUUUGUACCAGACCCAACUAAACGACAACCAGGCAAAAUCACCAUCGUCGUUGUGAGUCGGUUGGUAUACAGGAAGGGGAUGGACCUCCUGGCCGGUAUCAUACCCAUCAUCUGUCGGAGACAUCCUGAUGUACAGUUUAUUAUAGGUGGAGAUGGUCCUAAACGAAUUGUUUUAGAGGAGGUGAGGGAACAACAUGAGCUUCUUGACCGGGUUACUUUACUGGGAACACUGAAGCAAACACGGGUCAGAGAGGUGCUGGUUCAGGGUGACAUUCUGGUGAACACCUCGUUGACGGAGGCAUUUUGCAUUGCCAUAGUUGAGGCCGCUUGUUGUGGAUUACAAGUUGUCACUACGAGAGUCGGUGGUGUCCCAGAAGUGUUGCCUCCCGACCUUAUCUACAUGGCUGAACCCACAAUAUCAAGCUUACUGGAGUCUGUUGAGCGCGCUAUUGAAGAUCGUCGUCAAGGGAGGGAAGUACCACCAUUUGAAGCUCACAGAAGAAUCAUGUCACUAUAUACCUGGAGGAACGUGGCCAUGCGGACAGAGAGAGUAUAUGAUAUGGUUUGUUUAGAAGAACAAAGAGAAACGUCUACUAGACUCAAAAGUUAUUACCAGUGUGGUCCUCUAGCAGGGAAGCUGUUUGUCAUUGCUGCAGUGCUCAAUAUUUUCCUUUUGUUUAUCAUUGGAGUUUUACAACCAGCAAAGUUAAUUGAAAGAGCAGCCGAAUUUCCACGACCAUCAGUGAAACAUAGAGUAACGGAGAACAAUCACACUCUUAAAAAUAAAAAAGUAAAGUAUGCAUGAUGAUGUGAUAAGGUGCUAGCCUGUAACUACAUGAUAUAAUUAUAUCAUAAUUCAUAAUAUUUUAUCUAACGAACCUUUUGUUUAUUGCCUUUGAAAGAGGUCGAGUGAUAUAUGAACACUGUUUGUCGUUAAUUCUAAGAUGGAUUCCCGAUGAUUUUCAGGAUGUUCAAACCAUGUAACCAUGCUGUACUUUCUGUUAUGAAUUUUAACAUGGCUGUAUAGCCUACAGACAUUUUGAUAUAGGAGACAGUGGUUUUGUGUUUUAACUUGAAGGACUCUGCUCUCGAUAUGAAUUUCUUCUAUACACCCUUGGAAUAUGUCUAAAAAAAAGAUAAAAGGCUAUUUUUUGACACCCUGCAGAUGAUAAAAGUAAACCAGUCUGGCUUUGAUAAAGAUGGAAUGAAUCGCAGAUCAAAGGAAUCCCGUGACAGCAUGUAAGGCCUGUUAAUGCACAGGCUUUGACGUUGGGUGCAGCUCUUCUGUAAUUUAAAAUGGGAAUGACAUGAUACAUUCAAAGGGUUGUAAGAUAUGUAUUUCAAGAGCAGAACACUCGAUUAUAAUUCCCUAUAUGGCUAAAAGAAGAGAUUUUUUCAAAAAAGCAUCCCAUGAUUUACCUGUACCAUGACACGGAAUGUGUAGUCAAAACAUUCAUAAGUCACAUUUCAUUUUUUCAAAAGAACUACAAACAUUUUAUGGUAGAUGAGACUAUUUUCAAAAAAAUAAUCACAACAUUUUUUUUGUACUAUGAUAUGUACCUGGUAGUCAAAAUAUUCAUCAACAACUAUAUGUCACAUUUUCUUUAAUCAAAAGAACUACAUACUGUACAUAGUAUGGUAGGUGAAGGUUGUUCAACUAAAUGUUAGCUUCCUGAUUUGAUAUCUGCGUUCUAUGAGUUCAUUCUUAUUGCAGAACUUUUUUGUAUUAUUCUGCCACGUAUAUAAAAAAGAAGAGAAAGACAGAAUCAUGAAGGUAUCUGUAAAAAAUGUUGUAUAACAGUUAUGUUUUCUGAGACUAUUAUUUUCAUGAUUUCGACACAAUUAGCAGACUGUAAACACUUGCCAGUGUGAAAUACAUGAUUUAAGCAUCAUAUUGUGAAAUAAAUACAUCGUAAAUUUGAUGCAGAUGUGAAAGUUGAUAUGUUUAUUGUGUCUACCACUUGUCUUUCUAAGCUCAAUCAAAGUAUUUUUUUAAUUCAGCUGUAUGAGUCUUAAGAGAAUCAGGCUGUUGGAUAUUUACCCACUCCCCACUUACAAAUUGAAAUCCACUGAGUGAUAUUGAAAAGGCCUUUUCUGACGCUUGAAGCCAUCAGGCCAUGCUUUUUAUUGUGUGUAUGUUUUCUUCAGAACACUUAUGAGUUUGAAUCCUGUUGAGUGGUGUACAAGGAAACAUGUUGACUGAUGAUCAAAAUCUGAUGUCUAUGUUUACAUACAAUAAUCUUCUGAAGAUUAUUGAUAAUGAAAUCCAUCAAUGAUUUUUAUUAGUUGACAAAUACAUUCAUUAUGUGUCCCCUUCCAAUGCAGGGACAAUUACUGGUUAAUUUUUCGUUUCAAUUCUUUUUAUCAUAACCAUCAUUCCUAACCAUUCAUGAUACUUUGCUGAAAUUACAUUAAUCACACACAAGAGGUGUACCUUGUGUCAUAAUAUGGACACUGUAAUUUAACCUUAAAGUCUAAGGUUAAAUAAGUCCUCAAUUUUCGGGAGAAAACUCCCUAGGCCUUAACUUUUUUAAACCAUUAAAUAUAUGUUGAUGGAACUUGAAGUGUGCCAGUAUCAACGGCAGCAGUGAAAACAAUUGUACAUUGAUUAGGUCACUGUGACCGUCACAUCAAGGUCAAAUGUCAAAUACGUUAUUUGUUAACGAGUGGUUAUAUGGUUGAUAAAGCUAGAAGUAUACUUCCUCACUCACAGAAAUUAAAUGUCAUAUAAGUGUUCAAUAUAAGGUCAUCAAAAACAAAUAUUUACUAAAAUAUUUUGUAUAAAGCAGUGCACAUAUUACGCUAGUGUGUUCAAUUACAAGAGUGAUUUGGGUAAUAUUCAACAACAAUCUUAUAAAACCAGAUCUGUUAUUCCACUCCAACAAAAGAUCUGUUUUUAAUCAGAUGUAUUCAACAGCUAGAAGAGAAAACCAAUUUUACCUCAUUGAAACAAAUUUCUUUUUUACGUUUGAAAGCUUAUCCCAGACUUGUUGGGAAAUUACCUCCAAUUUCGAUCUUGUAAAAUUAAAUUAACUUACAUGUAAUAUGUCUUUGUAGACCAAAUGUUCAGACCAUAGUCAGUCUUCUUGAUGUUUUUAGGAAUUGGGUAUUUUUAUUUAUAAUUCCAAUGUUAAGUUUGGUUAGAAAGGUAAGGUGCUUACUUUUUUUAUUCAAUAUCAUGACAAUGAGAAUGCCUGAUGUUUUUUGUUGUUGUCUAUAUACAUUGUUCAUGUAUAUUUAUUGAUGUCAUGGUGCUUUUUUUCUAGCAUAAUAGUUGAAAGUUGACAUUUGCAUGAUAGAGCAAACGAAAAAUAUUUAGUGAAAGGAAAUAAGGUCAUCCAUCAAACCUCAGUCUUCUGAACAGUGACAAAUCCAGGAUAUGAAAUUUUGUCAGUGUAGCAAUCAAACAAAUAUGGCGGAUGGUCAACUUCCUGUUUACUAAAGGAGUGUCACGAUAUACAAUAAAAUCUUGUUAUUUUCCCGCCAUUUUUUUUAUUAAAUUUUGUUUUAAUUAUGCAAAGUUUGUUUGUAGUACUUUUAGGGCGACCUACAAAAAGGAUGUUAUUGGUAGAACCUUGCAACCGAAGUCAUCCUUAGAAUCACAGAAUCCUUGGAUGUAGACCUACCAGCAGAUAUAUAUACAACUGUACUACAAAAAUAAGGAUCCUCGCCUGAACAGUCAAAAUAGUACCAGUAAAACAAAAUAGGAAGUAAAUAUCUUAGCCAGUUAAUGCUUUUUAAAAGUAAAAGCGUUCGGACGACGCCAUACCUAUAUAAAAACCCACCCUCGGUAAGACAACCACCUGUUCAAUAGCCUCCAAAUGGUCCGAUGCUAUUUAAAGAGACACGACUGCCAGUCAUGAUCAUAUCAUGUUUUUCAAUGCCUACUGUUCCAUUCUACAAAUUGAUCAUUUUUUGCAUCUUCUUUCCCAGAGAGUGGUUCAUAUCUGUAAUAAGUUGUAAUGCGAUUUUCUGAACUAAUAAGAAAACAAAACAAACUGGAGAUUCAUUUUUCUACCUAAUGCAAACAUAAAACAAAAUGAGGAUAUAUCUUCUUGGUGUAUUUUUAUAUUAAACUAGUCAAUUAAUAGAUAUACUUUAAAAAAAUCAAAUCUGGUUUUUAAUUCUGGACUUUUCUAGUGUAAUGACAAAUAUUCUUGACAUUUAUCAUGUAUAAUAUUUAAUGUAACAUAUAUUUUCGUAAUUUGCUUGCACUGCAAUUAAUAUCUUCAUUUUAUACCUUUUACAUAUAAUGAAAUGUAAUUCAAACAUGACAAAUUUUAUUAAUUGAUACUGCUGUGUUUCACUAUAAGAUUAUUUCAUGUCGAUGGGUGUAGGUUAGGGCAAUUCCUCCAAAGGGGUUUUCAAAUUGGAUAAAACUAGAGGCUUGCUGAGGGGUUUGCACCAAUUUGAAAAGGCAUUUUCUUAUUAUUUACCCGUGGGGAUGGAAAAGUAUUUUUUCUCUAAGUUCAAUUACCAGAAUUAGCUCUGAACACACAUGAAGGUAUCAAACUUUCUGCAUUGCAGUAUCAGAAUGUGCCCGAUUUGUUGACGUCCUGUUAUUGUUGUUCCGUUAUUGUGACAUCACGUUGGGGGCAAGAUAGAACAUUCCUAAUUCCCCUUUUUAUCCUGUCAUAUACCCACAAGAAUGAGAGAAAUGUAUCGUCAUAAUAAAUGCUGAUAUUGAUUUGAAGAUGGCAACAUACAUAUAUAUCUAUUCGAAGUAUAAGUGCAUGAAGUAUGUAAUAAAAUCGAUCCUGAGUUGGUCUUAUGAAUCUUGUUACAAAAGUUUCGUGAUGAGUGAGGUGAAACCUGCUUGUUUGGUGUUGUUAAGGAUAACAAAUUGUAUUAUCAGUCAGACCUGUCGUUUUGUUAGUUUAGUGUUUAUGGAAACAUAAAAUUGCCAUAUAGUGGUAUGAUACUGGAAGAUGUUUUCAUAUUGGUGCUUUUUCCUGUAGAACAUUAGCAUAUUGCUAAAGAUGCUUUACCACUGAUUUUUGAGAAUAUUUCACUGUUUGAAAUAUAUAUUUUGCAUUAUGAUUUUUUUUCCAGUAUCAGAGAUGUUCUAAAUAAUCCAUAAAUACCACUUUGGAAUGAAAAUUCAAAAGAAAAAUAUCAGAAGAAUAACAUCAUAUCUACACCGAAAUUCAUUAUGGAAACAGUCUUGACAUGGGCUGUUCCCAUGAUGAGUUUAUAUUCACGCCGUACACCAUACACCAUCAGUGUGGUUCAGUCUAUUGCAUAAAAGGUAACUCAGAGUUGUGUAUUUUUGAAUAGACUACAUGUUGAAGCACAAGGUUAAACCUGCGAUGCCUUUACUUGAAAGAAAUCCCGUCCUGUACCAAACAAAGAAAUUCCAAUGCUUUGAUAAGCAUAUCUAUCUGGAUGGGAUUUGAAAUAUAUGAGAAUGUAUUAAGAUAAUUUCAUAUAUCGUACUUUUUGUAUGUUAUAUUUAGUCAUUUUAAUACACGAGAACAAGGAAAAAGAAAAUACAAUGCUUGUUGAACCGACAAUCAGCGAUAAACUAUCUUGAAGGUGUAAUGUUGCUUUGUUUAAUAUAUCAAAGCAAGAAUUUUGUAGUGUAAUUUUUAUCACGUUUGUGGCAUCUGUUUUAUAUUUUUAACGGAAUCGGACAUUCAUCACUUACAUGUCAAAUUAAUUUAUUAUAUAUGUGUUGGUACUAUAUGUGUUUUAUCUACAAGUGUGCCAUAGUACUGAAUGCCAAAAGAAACUAUAUAUGAUACCUGUCUAUGUAUUUCAUAAACUAUCUGUUUAAUCAGGGAGUUAGGCUAUCUAAACACGUAGUGCACUAUAAGCUGACAUUGCCGGGUACAUUGUACAAUGUGUGAACUGCUAGUUAUCUUUCUGAAGAGUAACUUCCUACACACUGAUACCCUGAUAAACAUAGAUAAUAUUGAUUAUUUUAAAACGAACCUGUAAGCUUUCUGUUAUUUGGUAUAACAAAAUUCCGCUUAGAAAUGGCAAAACAAUGGUGGUUAGUGUUUUAAAAGUACAUUACGAUAAAUUAUUUACAUUUGUCCAUGUCCCAGGCCGAUGCUUUUUAAGCACCUCAGCCAUAUACUAGUUAGUACACAGAUAGAAUUGUACGAUUUGUUUUUGGAAAAUUAUAUGAUGUGGUGGCAUCUUUACUACACCAAUCUAUUCUCAUUAGAUGUGAUCAUUGAAGCUGGUCUAUAACCGACAGUGCGGCAGUGAUUUGCUUGAGAUGCGCUGCUUUCAGAACACAUGCAUGAAAGUUGAGUGUAGCGGCAUGCUAUCAAUACAUGUAAUAACAAAUGGAUAUAUAAAGUUCGUUUAUUAUCAUAACAUGUAGUAGUAUUUUAAAUUUAAUUUUGAGAUUGUUUUGAUUAUUUAUAAGCUUCUCGUAUUAUUUAGAUACAUAUUUAAUGCAUUCAUUACAGUUUUGUUGAUGACAUCUGUAAAACUAGUAACUAUUGUCAGUUUUUGUUUUUAUAUAGGUGAUUCAAGUCGUAAUUCAUUUCACUGUUUCGUAUAUUUUGUACCUACUACGAAAAUUGUAUAUUAAAUUUGAU
RNAcentral lists this unclassified non-coding RNA (7401 nucleotides) under Mizuhopecten yessoensis (Yesso scallop). RNAcentral describes it as "phosphatidylinositol N-acetylglucosaminyltransferase subunit A-like, transcript variant X4". The record is from RNAcentral. Lineage: Eukaryota; Metazoa; Mollusca; Bivalvia; Pectinida; Pectinidae.